AGCGGUGCGGCAGCUAAACAUGCAAGUCGAGCGGUAGCACAGAAGAGCUUGCUCUUUGGGUGACGAGCGGCGGACGGGUGAGUAAUGUCUGGGAAACUGCCUGAUGGAGGGGGAUAACUACUGGAAACGGUAGCUAAUACCGCAUAACCUCGCAAGAGCAAAGAGGGGGACCUUCGGGCCUCUCGCCAUCAGAUGUGCCCAGAUGGGAUUAGCUAGUAGGUGAGGUAAUGGCUCACCUAGGCGACGAUCCCUAGCUGGUCUGAGAGGAUGACCAGCCACACUGGAACUGAGACACGGUCCAGACUCCUACGGGAGGCAGCAGUGGGGAAUAUUGCACAAUGGGCGCAAGCCUGAUGCAGCCAUGCCGCGUGUGUGAAGAAGGCCUUCGGGUUGUAAAGCACUUUCAGCGAGGAGGAAGGCGGUAAGGUUAAUAACCUUAUCGAUUGACGUUACUCGCAGAAGAAGCACCGGCUAACUCCGUGCCAGCAGCCGCGGUAAUACGGAGGGUGCAAGCGUUAAUCGGAAUGACUGGGCGUAAAGCGCACGCAGGCGGUCUGUUAAGUUGGAUGUGAAAUCCCCGGGCUUAACCUGGGAACUGCAUUCAAAACUGACAGGCUAGAGUCUUGUAGAGGGGGGUAGAAUUCCAGGUGUAGCGGUGAAAUGCGUAGAGAUCUGGAGGAAUACCGGUGGCGAAGGCGGCCCCCUGGACAAAGACUGACGCUCAGGUGCGAAAGCGUGGGGGAGCAAACAGGAUUAGAUACCCUGGUAGUCCACGCUGUAAACGAUGUCGAUUUGGAGGUUGUGCCCUUGAGGCGUGGCUUCCGGAGCUAACGCGUUAAAUCGACCGCCUGGGGAGUACGGCCGCAAGGUUAAAACUCAAAUGAAUUGACGGGGGCCCGCACAAGCGGUGGAGCAUGUGGUUUAAUUCGAUGCAACGCGAAGAACCUUACCUACUCUUGACAUCCAGAGAACUUUCCAGAGAUGGAUUGGUGCCUUCGGGAACUCUGAGACAGGUGCUGCAUGGCUGUCGUCAGCUCGUGUUGUGAAAUGUUGGGUUAAGUCCCGCAACGAGCGCAACCCUUAUCCUUUGUUGCCAGCGAUUCGGUCGGGAACUCAAAGGAGACUGCCGGUGAUAAACCGGAGGAAGGUGGGGAUGACGUCAAGUCAUCAUGGCCCUUACGAGUAGGGCUACACACGUGCUACAAUGGCGUAUACAAAGAGAAGCGACCUCGCGAGAGCAAGCGGACCUCAUAAAGUACGUCGUAGUCCGGAUUGGAGUCUGCAACUCGACUCCAUGAAGUCGGAAUCGCUAGUAAUCGUAGAUCAGAAUGCUACGGUGAAUACGUUCCCGGGCCUUGUACACACCGCCCGUCACACCAUGGGAGUGGGUUGCAAAAGAAGUAGGUAGCUUAACCUUCGGGAGGGCGCUUACCACUUUGGAUCAAGGGU
RNAcentral lists this ribosomal RNA (1449 nucleotides) under Pectobacterium carotovorum subsp. carotovorum. RNAcentral describes it as "bacterial SSU rRNA". It matches the Rfam family "Bacterial small subunit ribosomal RNA". Lineage: Bacteria; Pseudomonadati; Pseudomonadota; Gammaproteobacteria; Enterobacterales; Pectobacteriaceae. The record is from RNAcentral.